UUUGUGAUGACCCAAAGAUUGAUUCAUAGAUUGAUUUUGAUGAUCACAACACCUUGAAGUAUAGAUACUAAUGUUUAUGUUGCAAGGAGAAAGAUAUUUAUUUUGCAAGGAACAUAGCAAGUUGGAAGAACACAAGAAGGCCUCCAAAAGCACUCAAGAAAAGUUAGAAGAAAGCUACAAUUUAUUGGCCCAAGCUUAAAGUUCAAAGGAUUCAAAUUGGAGGAGUAAAAUCAAAAGAAAAAUUCAAAAGAACAGUCUUCGAGUCGACUCCAGUGGAAUUCGAGUCGACUCCAGAGAAGUAUGAGUCGACUCCGGAGAAGUAUGAGUCGACUNN
This 334-nucleotide long non-coding RNA is filed under the name Phoenix dactylifera (date palm). RNAcentral's name for it is "long non-coding RNA (PDAC_LNC006583)". Lineage: Eukaryota; Viridiplantae; Streptophyta; Magnoliopsida; Arecales; Arecaceae. The record is from RNAcentral.